This 405-nucleotide ribosomal RNA is filed under the name uncultured bacterium. Its description in RNAcentral is "partial 16S ribosomal RNA". It matches the Rfam family "Bacterial small subunit ribosomal RNA", at positions 30 to 526 of the family's 1533-position model. The record is from RNAcentral.
AUUGAACGCUAGCGGGAUGCUUUACACAUGCAAGUCGAACGAGUGGCGGGCGGGUGAGUAAUAUAUCGGAACGCGCCCAGUAGCGGGGGAUAACUACUCGAAAGAGUGGCUAAUACCGCAUACUAUGGGAGCGCCCGAUAUCGGAUUAGCUAGUUGGUGGGUUAAAGGCUCACCAAGGCAACGAUCCGUAGCUGGUGUGAGAGGACGACCAGCCACACUGGGACUGAGACACGGCCCAGACUCCUACGGGAGGCAGCAGUGGGGAAUUUUGGACAAUGGGGGCAAGCCUGAUGCAGCCAUCCCGCGUGUAUGAGAAGGCCUUCGGGUUGUAAAGUACUUUUGGCAGAGAAGCGUUAGCGGCAGAAUAAGCACCGGCUAACUACGUGCCAGCAGCCGCGGUAAUAC